CCUGGCUCUCUCAAGGACCCACGGAGACAACCCAUUGGUCUGUAGUUUCGCUUCCCUUCCUGCCCCUCCCCCAAGGGUUUUAGUUUCGUUUCUUGGGGUUCCUGGGUUCUUCGGUGGGAGCUCCUCUGGGGAGACUAGGCCUCUGAAAUCUGUGAGCAAAAGGAACCUCUGAAACCAGAACAGGUAGGAGCAGAGAGCUGAUUUCUAUGGCUUCAGCAAUCUUAGCGAAUAUGAAGGAGGAGGUGACCUGCCCCAUCUGCCUGGAGCUCCUAGUAGAACCCCUGAGCAUAGACUGUGGCCACAGCUUCUGCCAAGCCUGCAUUACUGCAAACUAUGAAUCCAUGAUAGCCAAGGAAAUGGAGAGCAGGUGUCCUGUGUGCCGAAUCGGUUACCAACUUGAGAACCUGCGUCCUAAUCGACAUGUGGCCAACAUAGUAGAGAAGAUCAAUGAGAUCAAGUUGAGCUCAGAAGAGGGGCAAAAGCAAGAGCAUUGUGCACGCCAUGGAGAGAAACUCCUACUGUUUUGCAAGGAGGAUGGAAAGGUCAUCUGCUGGCUUUGUGAGCGUUCUCAGGAGCAUCGUGGUCACCACACAUUCCUCAUGGAGGAGGUCGCCCAGGAGUACCAGGAGAAGCUGCAGAGCGCUCUGAACAACCUGAUGACAAAGCAGGAAGAAGCUGAGAAGUUGAAAGCUGGCAUCCAACAGGAGAUAACUUCCUGGAAGAAUCAACUGCAGAAAGAGAGACAGAAUAUUCAAGCAGAGUUUAAACAUCUGAAAGACAUUCUGGAUUCUGAGGAGCAGGAUGAACUGCAGAAGCUGGAGGAAGAGAAGGGGCAUAUUCUGAAGAGUAUGGAAGAGUCCAAGCAUGAGCUGAUCCAGCAGAGCCAAGUUAUACAAAAUCACAUCUCAGACUUGGAGAAUUGCUUGCAGAGACCAACAAUUGAGAUGCUGCAGGAUGUGAAUGACAUCAUUUACAGGACUGAGACCUUCACCUUGAAGAAGCCAAAAACUUUUCCUGAGAAAGAAAGGAAAUCAUUUCAAAUUCAUGAGCUGAAAAGGACAAUGCAGAUGUUUCAAGACCUGAGACAUGCCCAGCGCUAUUGGGAUGCAUUAGCCUGGAGCUGGAUUAGAAGUGGAGCAGCUGGGACUCAAACUGCUGCACAUUUUGGAUGCCAGUGUUGAAGGUAGCAGUUUAACUCACUGUAUCACAAUGGCAGUCCCUCUGUUUAUUUUUUAAAUGAAUUUUAAAAUAUAUUUUGCACAGUGGUACAAGGAGAGGCAGAAGUUGAAUUCUGAAAAUUCUUGAUUAUAAUGUAGAGUGAACAGUGAGAGAGAGAGACAGAGAAAAGUCUUCCUUUUUCCGUUGGUUCACCCCCCAAUGGCUGCUGCCACCAGCGCAUCGUGCUGAUCCGAAGCCCAGAGCCAGGUACUUCUGGUCUCCCAUGCGGGUGCAGGGCCCAAGCACUUGGACCAUCCUCCACUGCACUCCCGGGCCACAGCAGAGAGCUGGACUGGAAGAGGGGCAACCGGGACAGAAUCUGGCACUAGAACCUGGGGUGCCAGUGCCACAGGCGGAGGAUUAGCCUAUUGAGCUGCAGCACCAGCUUACUUGUACUAUCUUAAGUUGCUGACGGGUCACUCUCCAUGGACAUUUAUUCUGUCUUUUCAUUUACUGUACUGCUCAGUCCCUCACUUCAGAAAGAAGUAAUUACAAGGAAAUAAAGACCUGAAUUUGUAAAUACAACAGAAAAAAUUACACAGUGAGGGUAUUCACUUUUUAACAGAGGAUCCUAGACCCAGAAAUUAAUACCUUUGCUAAAAAGAAUAUGAAACCUAUAGAUGUCCCAGCUAUUUUGUGUCUUGGCAAUAAAAGGCUGCAGAAGAUAUCUUGGAAUCUAAAGUCCACUGGACAAAAACUAUAAAUUGCUGUUUCCCUGUGUAUUAGUUCCAUGACUUUCUCCUCUUUAUCACUGAACCUCAAAGUAGCAAUAAUGCUAGCUUGUAUUCUGGUACCUUAGUUCUGUGCUGGGCUAAUAAUUACAUAGAUGUGUGAACACCGUGGAGUAUUUGAGUGUGCUUAGGAGACUCAAGGCAUAAGGGACCUUCAGUCUACAGGGUAAUUCAUGGGCAAGAUGCAAACAGUGGUCCUAAAAGCCAUCAUCAGAUAGUGAUCAUUCUGGGAACCUGAAAUCUUUACUAGAAUGGACACAAGAUCUACACCCAUUGAUAUAGUACGCCAAUGAACACCUUCCAUUUUUCCCAAGGAUAUUGCUGUGUAGUGUCUUCAUCCUAAUGCCUAAUCUUACCAUGUUGUCCAAUGCCAGGUCAUGUUUAAUGUCAGUAUCAACAAUCACUGCUCCCCUUUUCCAUGCCUCUUCUGAACUGUGUGCCCUUCCAGUUCAGAUGACUCUUAUGUAUGUCUUCAUGGGAUAGGAAGUGAGGCAUUGUUUUUAUACUUAGUGUUGCUUUGCCACCACUGAGACCCUCCAGGUGCAUUCCUAGGUAAACAGACAGGAUUUUAAGGAGUUAGUUAUUUCACAUAUCUCAUAUAAAUGUGGAAUCUGAGGAACCAGAGACUUGAGUAGAGUCAGAAAAGUUGACCUUUCAGAUCUAAUCCAAAGGCAACCUGGGAGCUGAAUUUUUUCCUUAUGGAGAAGAUACCUGUCUUUUCUCUUAAGGCUUUCAACUGAUUGAACGAGGCCCUCCCCUUUUGGGAAGCAGAUUUGUUUUACUCAAAGUUGACUGUUUUAAAUGUUAAUGUUAUCUAAAAUAACUACAUAGUAACAUCUGGCCUAGUGUUUAUCCAAAAAUUAUGGCAUCCCAUCGCUCAGCUAAGUUGACAUGAUAAUAGGCAUUGCAGGUUCAUUAAUUUUCAACUUUGUACCCAUAAACAUCAUAAAUCACACUUAAUCUUUAAAUGAAGAUAAUAACAAGGCCAUGCUUAACCACCCAAUGUGAUCCACUGUCCUUUGUACUACCAACUCACAUUAGCUCUUUCUUCAGGUGAGGAUGAAGGUCUUUGAGUAGUGUUAACUCUUUUCCUUGAUAUAUUAUAAUGUAACUACUAGACUGUUAAGUUAUAGUAAUGCUUAAAUUCUGUGAUAAAAGUGAAUAUAUUUUUUGUUACUUAUGAGAUGGAGGUGAAAGCAUUUUAUAUACAUGCCCAGAAAAAAAAAAAAAAACAGAGUAAGAAAGACUCUUAAUAAUUGUAGUCUUCAUUUCUGUAACUGGCCGUGUAUUCACAGCUGGUCUUUGUAAC
This is a non-coding RNA of Oryctolagus cuniculus (rabbit), 3258 nucleotides long. Lineage: Eukaryota; Metazoa; Chordata; Mammalia; Lagomorpha; Leporidae. The record is from RefSeq and is a predicted model, not a curated record.